This 416-nucleotide ribosomal RNA is filed under the name uncultured bacterium. RNAcentral's name for it is "bacterial SSU rRNA". It matches the Rfam family "Bacterial small subunit ribosomal RNA", at positions 355 to 787 of the family's 1533-position model. The record is from RNAcentral.
UGAGGAAUAUUGCACAAUGGGGGAAACCCUGAUGCAGCAACGCCGCGUGAAGGAAGACGGUUUUCGGAUUGUAAACUUCUGUUCUUAGUGAAGAAUAAUGACGGUAGCUAAGGAGCAAGCCACGGCUAACUACGUGCCAGCAGCCGCGGUAAUACGUAGGUGGCAAGCGUUGUCCGGAAUUACUGGGUGUAAAGGGAGCGCAGGCGGGAGACCAAGUCAGCUGUGAAAACUACGGGCUUAACCUGUAGACUGCAGUUGAAACUGGUUUUCUUGAGUGAAGUAGAGGUUGGCGGAAUUCCGAGUGUAGCGGUGAAAUGCGUAGAUAUUCGGAGGAACACCGGUGGCGAAGGCGGCCAACUGGGCUUUAACUGACGCUGAGGCUCGAAAGUGUGGGGAGCAAACAGGAUUAGAUACCC